Molecule: unclassified non-coding RNA, 196 nt
Filed under: uncultured Pezizaceae
Lineage: Eukaryota; Fungi; Ascomycota; Pezizomycetes; Pezizales; Pezizaceae
Description: sequence contains ITS2
Source: RNAcentral
AGCUAUUUAUUUCAAGUCUUUGUGAAAAUCAAAGAGUUGAGGAUUUUUAGGGAAGUAAUAUUUUCUUUGGAGAUAUUACUCCUUAUAAAUGCUUUCACAGUUUUAUUUUUCAAUUUUAAAAUGUAAUACAAUAAUAUAAAAUCAUUUAAAAAUUAAAAUAAUACUUGUGAUAAAAAUUAACUUGUAGGAAAAACUG